RNAcentral lists this transfer RNA (73 nucleotides) under Balaenoptera acutorostrata scammoni. RNAcentral's name for it is "tRNA-Tyr (GTA) (tRNA-Tyr-GTA-8-1)". It matches the Rfam family "tRNA". Rfam says of the family: Transfer RNA (tRNA) molecules are approximately 80 nucleotides in length. Their secondary structure includes four short double-helical elements and three loops (D, anti-codon, and T loops). Further hydrogen bonds mediate the characteristic L-shaped molecular structure. tRNAs have two regions of fundamental functional importance: the anti-codon, which is responsible for specific mRNA codon recognition, and the 3' end, to which the tRNAs corresponding amino acid is attached (by aminoacyl-tRNA synthetases). tRNAs cope with the degeneracy of the genetic code in two manners: having more than one tRNA (with a specific anti-codon) for a particular amino acid; and 'wobble' base-pairing, i.e. permitting non-standard base-pairing at the 3rd anti-codon position. The record is from RNAcentral. Lineage: Eukaryota; Metazoa; Chordata; Mammalia; Artiodactyla; Balaenopteridae.
CCUUUGGUAGCUCAGCUGAUAGAGCGGAGGACUGUAGAUCCUUGGGUCGCUGGUUUGAUUCUGGCUCAAAGGA